UGGGGAAUAUUGGACAAUGGAGGAAACUCUGAUCCAGCAAUUCUGUGUGUGUGAAGAAGGUUUUAGGACUGUAAAACACUUUUAGUAGGGAAGAAAAAAAUGACGGUACCUACAGAAGAAGCAACGGCUAAAUACGUGCCAGCAGCCGCGGUAAUACGUAUGUUGCGAGCGUUAUCCGGAAUUAUUGGGCUUAAAGGGCAUCUAGGCGGUAAGACAAGUUGAAGGUGAAAACCUGUGGCUCAACCAUAGGCUUGCCUACAAAACUGUUGAACUAGAGUACUGGAAAGGUGGGUGGAACUACACGAGUAGAGGUGAAAUUCGUAGAUAUGUGUAUGAAUGCCGAUGAUGAAGAUAACUCACUGGACAGAAACUGACGCUGAAGUGCGAAAGCUAGGGGAGCAAACAGG
Molecule: ribosomal RNA, 407 nt
Filed under: Verrucomicrobiota bacterium
Lineage: Bacteria; Pseudomonadati; Verrucomicrobiota
Description: Verrucomicrobia bacterium partial 16S ribosomal RNA
Rfam family: Bacterial small subunit ribosomal RNA
Source: RNAcentral